AAAAAAAUUGGAUUGAGGCUGCGAUCCACGCUCUGGGGCCUACCUGGUCCAAAGGUUGUCCAUCGCCAUUCAGCGGGGCAAUGCUGCCAGCUUGAUGGGCACUUUUGGUCC
Long non-coding RNA from Maniola jurtina (meadow brown), 111 nucleotides. RefSeq lists it as uncharacterized. The transcript is spliced from 3 exons. Lineage: Eukaryota; Metazoa; Arthropoda; Insecta; Lepidoptera; Nymphalidae. The record is from RefSeq and is a predicted model, not a curated record.